RNAcentral lists this ribosomal RNA (602 nucleotides) under Usnocetraria oakesiana. Its description in RNAcentral is "LSU rRNA". It matches the Rfam family "Eukaryotic large subunit ribosomal RNA", at positions 236 to 948 of the family's 3401-position model. Lineage: Eukaryota; Fungi; Ascomycota; Lecanoromycetes; Lecanorales; Parmeliaceae. The record is from RNAcentral.
UCGAGCCCAUGUGAAGCCUCUUCGACGAGUCGAGUUGUUUGGGAAUGCAGCUCAAAAUGGGUGGUAAAUUUCAUCUAAAGCUAAAUACUGGCUGGAGACCGAUAGCGCACAAGUAGAGUGAUCGAAAGAUGAAAAGCACUUUGGAAAGAGAGUCAAACAGUACGUGAAAUUGUUGAAAGGGAAGCGCUUGCAACCAGACCUGCCCGUAGGCGAUCAGCCGCUGUUUUCAGCGGUGCACUCGUUCUGCGAUCAGGCCAGCAUCGGUUUGGGCGGUCGGAUAAAGGCCUUGGGAAUGUAGCUCCCCCCGGGGAGUCUUAUAGCCCUCGGUGCAAUGCGGCCAGCCGGGACCGAGGACCGCGCUUCGGCUAGGAUGCUGGCGUAAUGGUUGUCAGCGACCCGUCUUGAAACACGGACCAAGGAGUCUACAACUUACGCGAGUGUUUGGGUGUUAAACCCAUACGCGGAAUGAAAGUGAACGGAGGUGAGAACCCUUAAGGGCGCAUCAUCGACCGAUCCAGAUGUCUUCGGAUGGAUUUGAGUAUGAGCGUAAUUCGUAGGACCCGAAAGGUUAGUACCUCCAUCCCCCCUUUUUAUUAUAUAGU